GCAAGUCGAGGGGCAGCAUUACUUUCGGGUAGAUGGCGACCGGCGCACGGGUGCGUAACGCGUAUGCAACCUACCUUAUACAGAGGGAUAGCCCAUGGAAACGUGGAUUAACACCUCAUAGUAUUAUUUUUUCACCUGAUUAAAUAAUUAAAACUUCGGUGGUAUAAGAUGGGCAUGCGUAGGAUUAGGUAGUUGGUGAGGUAACAGCUCACCAAGCCGACGAUCCUUAGGGGUUCUGAGAGGAUUAUC
RNAcentral lists this ribosomal RNA (249 nucleotides) under uncultured bacterium. RNAcentral describes it as "partial 16S ribosomal RNA". It matches the Rfam family "Bacterial small subunit ribosomal RNA", at positions 57 to 305 of the family's 1533-position model. The record is from RNAcentral.